RNAcentral lists this ribosomal RNA (397 nucleotides) under uncultured bacterium. RNAcentral describes it as "partial 16S ribosomal RNA". It matches the Rfam family "Bacterial small subunit ribosomal RNA", at positions 523 to 918 of the family's 1533-position model. The record is from RNAcentral.
AUACGUAGGGGGCGAGCGUUGUCCGGAAUGAUUGGGCGUAAAGGGCGCGUAGGCGGCCCGGUAAGUCUGGAGUGAAAGUCCUGUUUUUAAGAUGGGAAUUGCUUUGGAUACUGUCGGGCUUGAGUGCAGGAGAGGUAAGUGGAAUUCCCCGUGUAGCGGUGAAAUGCGUAGAGAUUGGGAGGAACACCAGUGGCGAAGGCGGCCUCCUGGACCAUUCCUGACGCUCAGACGCGAAAGCUAGGGGAGCGAACGGGAUUAGACACCCCGGUAGUCCUAGCUGUAAACGACGUGGACUUGGCGUUGGUGGGGUAAAAGCCAUCAGUGCCGGAGCUAACGCGGUAAGUCCACCGCCUGGGGACUACGGCCGCAAGGUUAAAACUCAAAUGAAUUGACGGGG